AACGAACGCUGGCGGCAUGCCUAACACAUGCAAGUCGAACGAGACCUUCGGGUCUAGUGGCGCACGGGUGCGUAACGCGUGGGAACCUGCCCUUAGGUUCGGAAUAACUCCCCGAAAGGGGUGCUAAUACCGGAUAAUGUCUUCGGACCAAAGAUUUAUCGACUUUGGAUGGGCCCGCGUUGGAUUAGCUAGUUGGUAGGGUAAAAGCCUACCAAGGCUACGAUCCAUAGCUGGUCUGAGAGGAUGAUCAGCCACACUGGGACUGAGACACGGCCCAGACUCCUACGGGAGGCAGCAGGGGGGAAUAUUGGACAAUGGGCGAAAGCCUGAACCAGCAAUGCCGCGUGAGUGAUGAAGGCCUGAGGGUUGUAAAGCUCUUUUACCCGGGAUGAUAAUGACAGUACCGGGAGAAUAAGCUCCGGCUAACUCCGUG
RNAcentral lists this ribosomal RNA (433 nucleotides) under uncultured bacterium. RNAcentral describes it as "partial 16S ribosomal RNA". It matches the Rfam family "Bacterial small subunit ribosomal RNA", at positions 29 to 507 of the family's 1533-position model. The record is from RNAcentral.